This 454-nucleotide ribosomal RNA is filed under the name uncultured bacterium. RNAcentral describes it as "partial 16S ribosomal RNA". It matches the Rfam family "Bacterial small subunit ribosomal RNA", at positions 28 to 507 of the family's 1533-position model. The record is from RNAcentral.
GAUGAACGCUGGCAGAAUGCUUAACACAUGCAAGUCAACUUGAACUUCGGUUUGGGUGGCGUCCGUGUGAGUAACGCGAAAAGAACUUGCCUCACAGAUAGGGACCACAUUUGGAAACGCAUGCUAAUACCUGAUAUUAUGAUUUUAGGGCAUCCUAGGAUUAUGAAAGCUAUAUGCGCUGUGAGAGAGCUUUGCGUCCCAUUAGCUAGUUGGCGAGGUAACGGCUCACAAGGGCGAGGAUGGGUCGCCGGCCUGGGAGGGUGAUCGGCAAAAAGGGGACUGGGACACGGCCCUUAUCCUAAGGGGAGGCAGCAGUGGGGAAUAUUGGACAAGGGACGAAGAGUGUGAUCCAGAAAUUCUGUGUGCAAGAUGAAGUUUUUCGUAAUGAAAAGCGUUUUCAGUGGGGAAGAAAAAAAUGACGGUACCAACAGAAGAAGCGACGGCUAAAUACGUG